This 480-nucleotide ribosomal RNA is filed under the name Streptomyces sp. RNAcentral's name for it is "bacterial SSU rRNA". It matches the Rfam family "Bacterial small subunit ribosomal RNA", at positions 57 to 554 of the family's 1533-position model. Lineage: Bacteria; Bacillati; Actinomycetota; Actinomycetes; Kitasatosporales; Streptomycetaceae. The record is from RNAcentral.
GCAAGUCGAACGAUGAAGCCCUUCGGGGUGGAUUAGUGGCGAACGGGUGAGUAACACGUGGGCAAUCUGCCCUGCACUCUGGGACAAGCCCUGGAAACGGGGUCUAAUACCGGAUAUCACUUUUCCUCGCAUGGGGGAGGGUUGAAAGCUCCGGCGGUGCAGGAUGAGCCCGCGGCCUAUCAGCUUGUUGGUGGGGUGAUGGCCUACCAAGGCGACGACGGGUAGCCGGCCUGAGAGGGCGACCGGCCACACUGGGACUGAGACACGGCCCAGACUCCUACGGGAGGCAGCAGUGGGGAAUAUUGCACAAUGGGCGGAAGCCUGAUGCAGCGACGCCGCGUGAGGGAUGACGGCCUUCGGGUUGUAAACCUCUUUCAGCAGGGAAGAAGCGUGAGUGACGGUACCUGCAGAAGAAGCGCCGGCUAACUACGUGCCAGCAGCCGCGGUAAUACGUAGGGCGCAAGCGUUGUCCGGAAUUAU